This 608-nucleotide ribosomal RNA is filed under the name Colletotrichum truncatum. Its description in RNAcentral is "eukaryotic LSU rRNA". The stretch from base 236 to 389 matches the Rfam family "5.8S ribosomal RNA". Lineage: Eukaryota; Fungi; Ascomycota; Sordariomycetes; Glomerellales; Glomerellaceae. The record is from RNAcentral.
UUGGAAGUAAAAAGUCGUAACAAGGUCUCCGUUGGUGAACCAGCGGAGGGAUCAUUACUGAGUUACCGCUCAUCAACCCUUUGUGAACAUACCUUAACUGUUGCUUCGGCGGGUAGGCGUCCCCUAAAAAGGACGUCUCCCGGCCCUCUCCCGUCCGCGGGUGGGGCGCCCGCCGGAGGAUAACCAAACUCUGAUUUAACGACGUUUCUUCUGAGUGACACAAGCAAAUAAUCAAAACUUUUAACAACGGAUCUCUUGGUUCUGGCAUCGAUGAAGAACGCAGCGAAAUGCGAUAAGUAAUGUGAAUUGCAGAAUUCAGUGAAUCAUCGAAUCUUUGAACGCACAUUGCGCCCGCCAGCAUUCUGGCGGGCAUGCCUGUUCGAGCGUCAUUUCAACCCUCAAGCUCUGCUUGGUGUUGGGGCUCUACGGUUGACGUAGGCCCUUAAAGGUAGUGGCGGACCCUCUCGGAGCCUCCUUUGCGUAGUAACAUUUCGUCUCGCAUUGGGAUUCGGAGGGACUCUAGCCGUAAAACCCCCAAUUUUACUAAGGUUGACCUCGGAUCAGGUAGGAAUACCCGCUGAACUUAAGCAUAUCAAUAAGCGGAGGAA